AGUGAACGCUGGCGGUAGGCCUAACACAUGCAAGUCGAACGGCAGCACAGUAAGAGCUUGCUCUUACGGGUGGCGAGUGGCGGACGGGUGAGGAAUACAUCGGAAUCUACUUUUUCGUGGGGGAUAAUGUAGGGAAACUUACGCUAAUACCGCAUACGACCUACGGGUGAAAGCAGGGGAUCUUCGGACCUUGCGCGAUUGAAUGAGCCGAUGUCGGAUUAGCUAGUUGGCGGGGUAAAGGCCCACCAAGGCGACGAUCCGUAGCUGGUCUGAGAGGAUGAUCAGCCACACUGGAACUGAGACACGGUCCAGACUCCUACGGGAGGCGGCAGUGGGGAAUAUUGGACAAUGGGCGCAAGCCUGAUCCAGCCAUACCGCGUGGGUGAGGAAGGCCUUCGGGUUGUAAAGCCCUUUUGUUGGGAAAGAAAAGCAGCAGGUUAAUACCCCGCUGUUCUGACGGUACCCAAAGAAUAAGCACCGGCUAACUUCGUG
This 492-nucleotide ribosomal RNA is filed under the name uncultured bacterium. Its description in RNAcentral is "partial 16S ribosomal RNA". It matches the Rfam family "Bacterial small subunit ribosomal RNA", at positions 29 to 507 of the family's 1533-position model. The record is from RNAcentral.